GGCUGGCUAGCUCAGCUGGUUAGAGUAUGGUGCUAAUAAUGCCAAAAUCAUGGGUUCAAGCCCUAGCCUGGCCA
Molecule: transfer RNA, 74 nt
Filed under: Pelodiscus sinensis (Chinese soft-shelled turtle)
Lineage: Eukaryota; Metazoa; Chordata; Testudines; Trionychidae
Rfam family: tRNA
About the family: Transfer RNA (tRNA) molecules are approximately 80 nucleotides in length. Their secondary structure includes four short double-helical elements and three loops (D, anti-codon, and T loops).
Source: Rfam by way of RNAcentral